GCACCCGUAGUUCAAUGGAUAGAAUUUCGGUUUCCGGUACCGACGAUAUGAGUUCGAAUCUCGUCGGGUGCACCA
This 75-nucleotide transfer RNA is filed under the name Dyadobacter sediminis. RNAcentral describes it as "tRNA-Arg". It matches the Rfam family "tRNA". From Rfam's summary of the family: Transfer RNA (tRNA) molecules are approximately 80 nucleotides in length. Lineage: Bacteria; Pseudomonadati; Bacteroidota; Cytophagia; Cytophagales; Spirosomataceae. The record is from RNAcentral.